Long non-coding RNA from Equus quagga, 334 nucleotides. RefSeq lists it as uncharacterized. The record is from RefSeq and is a predicted model, not a curated record. NCBI's taxonomy places the organism in Eukaryota, Metazoa, Chordata, Mammalia, Perissodactyla, Equidae. The transcript is spliced from 3 exons.
CCGCGCUUUUUUUCUAGUGCGCUCUUUCCUUUUGCUGUGAUUCAGGGCUGAGGACGGCUGCCCCCUUCUCUGCCCCGAACCUGAUCGAGGAGGUCGUCACCUCUUCCUCCGCUGCUGUCUUCGCCACCUCAUCCUUUCUUUGAAUGGGGCCAACUGUUUGCUGAAGUGUGACGUGUGAAGAUGUCAGAGGAAAUGAGCUUAAGCGUCUCAGGAGCUUCAAUUCAGGUGAGAAAUCUUGGACUCUUUGCAACUAAAUACCAUCCAAGGUCACACAACAGUGAGGUAGUGGGAGGAUCACAAAACCAUGCUACUUUCCCUUUUCAUUUUUUGGGUA